Molecule: long non-coding RNA, 1000 nt
Organism: Jatropha curcas
Lineage: Eukaryota; Viridiplantae; Streptophyta; Magnoliopsida; Malpighiales; Euphorbiaceae
Source: RefSeq, a predicted model, not a curated record
CCCACUUCAAUUAUCAACAUUUCUUUCUAUGUUCAUAUGUUUCCAGUCGCAGCCCUAUAUAUAAUUCUCCUUUAUGUACUUCUGUUUUAGAUUACCCUUUUCUUGCCUUUUACAUGCUGUAACUGGGUCUCAUUCUCUACCAUCUUAAGCUCUGUUAUCCUUUCCCUGCCGAAAAGAAAAGCGAAAAACAAUAGAACUGGCGUUCAUGGUGCCGCUGCUGUCUAGGGUAACGAUACUAGAAAAUAAUACAAACGGUAGAAUAAAGAUCCAAGAAUCGCACCCUUAUCAACCUGAAUGUAUAGAACUGAACCCUUUUGGUUCCAAGGAGAUUAAAGCCACCUUGUACUUCCGCCGAGGCAUCGAGUCUGGAAGGCCAAUGGUCUUUAAAUUGUUCAUUGACGGAGUCUUAACGGAAAGGCACUUGGCACCUCAACACUUUAUCCAGUAUCUUAAAAUCUCCUUCUCCGUUGAUAAUAACAGUGGUCAGCUUAUCGUGAAAGGGAUCCGCCCAACCACCUUUACUUGCCACCUCCGCCGCCUACGCGGACUGGGCUUUCUCAUGGGCAGAGGUCGCCAAACAGGGGAAGAAGAGCUCAUCCAUUGAAAUUUUAAAAGUUUUAAAAGACUACACAAGGAAUUGAAGGCAAUCAUUUUGCUUAUGAUUCAUUGGCCAAAGAAGCAAUUAGAAGAUCACAAGAUGCUGUUGCUUGGUUACUUUGAGUUUAGCUAGUCUGCAGGCAGAGCGGAGCUCUUCGGCUUGUUUAAUUAGGAUUUGAAAUUGGACCUGCUUAUGUUGUUGGUGUUCUUUGUCUCUCAAAAGUGGGUCUAAGAAUUUCUUCCUCUUUUUGUUUUCUCAGUUUGCUGUAGUUUUGAUAGUCGAAACGGUUGUUUGAAGGUUCCAUUUGUUUUUUUUUUUUUUUUCUUUGUUUCGUAAUUUUCCUUGUUUUCAAGGAUUUUUUGUACUCCUUAUAUUAUAACUUGAUGAAUGGAAUUACAUUUU